GGCUGCCAUGGCCGAGUGGUAAUGCUCAUGACUGAUUCGUCAGGUUGUGGGUUCGAGGCCCACUGCGGUCU
Non-coding RNA from Halocaridina rubra (Hawaiian volcano shrimp), 71 nucleotides. NCBI's taxonomy places the organism in Eukaryota, Metazoa, Arthropoda, Malacostraca, Decapoda, Atyidae. The record is from the annotation of a GenBank genome assembly.